UAGUCAUACUCACGCUUGAGUCGACAUAACACAUACUAACCUUAGCAGAUUGUCAAUGCCCAAUUGGCAAUCCUAUGGCUAGGAAUGUUUUAGGAAUGAACAUAAGAGAAAGGUCUCGUUAAUCUAACUUACUUAAAUCACUUGUCUCUUAGAUCAAAUACACUCCUUGGAUUCCCUUAUUGCUUAAACACAUGAUACAAUAAAUAGUG
Molecule: long non-coding RNA, 209 nt
Filed under: Malus domestica (apple)
Lineage: Eukaryota; Viridiplantae; Streptophyta; Magnoliopsida; Rosales; Rosaceae
Description: long non-coding RNA (MDOM_LNC005895)
Source: RNAcentral